AAAAACGAAAGUUGACGUAUAAGGCCUGACACCUGCCCGGUGCUGGAAGGUUAAGAGGGGAUGUUAGCGCAAGCGAAGCAUUGAAUCGAAGCCCCAGUAAACGGCGGCCGUAACUAUAACGGUCCUAAGGUAGCGAAAUUCCUUGUCGGGUAAGUUCCGACCUGCACGAAUGGCGUAACGAUGGCCACACUGUCUCCUCCAGAGACUCAGCGAAGUUGAAAUGUUUGUGAUGAUGCAAUCUCCCCGCGGAAAGACGGAAAGACCCCAUGAACCUUUACUGUAGCUUUACAUUGGACUUUGAACAGAUCUGUGUAGGAUAGGUGGGAGGCUUUGAAGUAAGGUCGCUAGAUCUUAUGGAGCCGACGUUGAAAUACCACCCUGGUGUGUUUGAGGUUCUAACCUUGGCCCGUGAUCCGGGUUGGGGACAGUGUAUGGUGGGCAGUUUGACUGGGGCGGUCUCCUCCCAAAGUGUAACGGAGGAGUUCGAAGGUACGCUAGUUACGGUCGGAAAUCGUGACGAUAGUGCAUUGGCAUAAGCGUGCUUGACUGCGAGACUGACAAGUCGAGCAGGUACGAAAGUAGGACAAAGUGAUCCGGUGGUUCUGUAUGGAAGGGCCAUCGCUCAACGGAUAAAAGGUACUCCGGGGAUAACAGGCUGAUACCGCCCAAGAGUUCAUAUCGACGGCGGUGUUUGGCACCUCGAUGUCGGCUCAUCUCAUCCUGGGGCUGUAGCCGGUCCCAAGGGUAUGGCUGUUCGCCAUUUAAAGAGGUACGUGAGCUGGGUUUAAAACGUCGUGAGACAGUUUGGUCCCUAUCUUCCGUGGGCGCUGCAAGAUUGAGAGAGCCUGCUCCUAGUACGAGAGGACCGGAGUGGACGCACCUCUGGUGUAUCGGUUGUCACGCCAGUGGCAUUGCCGAGUAGCUAAGUGCGGAAGAGAUAACCGCUGAAAGCAUCUAAGCGGGAAACUCGUCUCAAGAUGAGUCUUGCCGGGGCCUUGAGCCCCCUGAAGGGUCGUUCGAGACCAGGACGUUGAUAGGCUGGGUGUGGAAGCGCAGUAAUGCGUUAAG
RNAcentral lists this ribosomal RNA (1068 nucleotides) under Austrofundulus limnaeus. Its description in RNAcentral is "bacterial LSU rRNA". It matches the Rfam family "Bacterial large subunit ribosomal RNA", at positions 1827 to 2890 of the family's 2925-position model. Lineage: Eukaryota; Metazoa; Chordata; Actinopteri; Cyprinodontiformes; Rivulidae. The record is from RNAcentral.